This 214-nucleotide unclassified non-coding RNA is filed under the name air metagenome. Its description in RNAcentral is "partial contains small subunit ribosomal RNA, internal transcribed spacer 1, and 5.8S ribosomal RNA". The stretch from base 1 to 46 matches the Rfam family "Eukaryotic small subunit ribosomal RNA", at positions 1786 to 1831 of the family's 1831-position model. The record is from RNAcentral.
AAGUCGUAACAAGGUUUCCGUAGGUGAACCUGCGGAAGGAUCAUUAAUGAAAUGCAAGGGUGCUCUUCUUAGACGCCCGACCCAUUCUCAUCUCACACUGUGCACAUACUGUCUUUACACCAUUUUUAAUACACUAAGUCUAAGAAUGUUAAACAGUCUCCUUAAUCGGAGCAUGAAAGUAAUACAACUUUCGGCAACGGAUCUCUUGGUUCCC